GGAUGUUAGCGGCGGACGGGUGAGUAACACGUGGGUAACCUGCCUGUAAGACUGGGAUAACUCCGGGAAACCGGAGCUAAUACCGGAUAGUUCCUUGAACCGCAUGGUUCAAGGAUGAAAGACGGUUUCGGCUGUCACUUACAGAUGGACCCGCGGCGCAUUAGCUAGUUGGUGGGGUAAUGGCUCACCAAGGCGACGAUGCGUAGCCGACCUGAGAGGGUGAUCGGCCACACUGGGACUGAGACACGGCCCAGACUCCUACGGGAGGCAGCAGUAGGGAAUCUUCCGCAAUGGACGAAAGUCUGACGGAGCAACGCCGCGUGAGUGAUGAAGGUUUUCGGAUCGUAAAGCUCUGUUGUUAGGGAAGAACAAGUACGAGAGUAACUGCUCGUACCUUGACGGUACCUAACCAGAAAGCCACGGCUAACUACGUGCCAGCAGCCGCGGUAAUACGUAGGUGGCAAGCGUUGUCCGGAAUUAUUGGGCGUAAAGGGCUCGCAGGCGGUUUCUUAAGUCUGAUGUGAAAGCCCCCGGCUCAACCGGGGAGGGUCAUUGGAAACUGGGAAACUUGAGUGCAGAAGAGGAGAGUGGAAUUCCACGUGUAGCGGUGAAAUGCGUAGAGAUGUGGAGGAACACCAGUGGCGAAGGCGACUCUCUGGUCUGUAACUGACGCUGAGGAGCGAAAGCGUGGGGAGCGAACAGGAUUAGAUACCCUGGUAGUCCACGCCGUAAACGAUGAGUGCUAAGUGUUAGGGGGUUUCCGCCCCUUAGUGCCUC
Molecule: ribosomal RNA, 777 nt
Filed under: Bacillus zhangzhouensis
Lineage: Bacteria; Bacillati; Bacillota; Bacilli; Caryophanales; Bacillaceae
Description: bacterial SSU rRNA
Rfam family: Bacterial small subunit ribosomal RNA
Source: RNAcentral